Molecule: ribosomal RNA, 254 nt
Filed under: uncultured bacterium
Lineage: Bacteria
Description: partial 16S ribosomal RNA
Rfam family: Bacterial small subunit ribosomal RNA
Source: RNAcentral
UACGAGUGCUUCGAGCGUUAUCCGGAAUUAUUGGGCGUAAAGGGUGUGUAGGCGGCUGUGUUAGUCUCUUGUAAAAUUUCUCGGCUCAACCGAGAGCUCGCAAGAGAAACGGCACGGCUUUGAGAAUGGAAGGGGUCUCUGGAACUCAUGGUGUAGCGGUGAAAUGCGUUGAUAUCAUGGGGAACACCAAAAGCGAAGGCAGGAGACUGGUCCAUUUCUGACGCUGAAACACGAAAGCGUGGGUAGCGAAUGGG